GGUUACGAGCGUCAGCGACAAGCCCUGGCUUGCUGGCCGGCAACCCUCCACUGUGCGGCGGGGUGCUCCAGGUGAGAACCCGACCGUGCGCUCCCUGCGCCUCGGUAAGCGCAAACC
This 117-nucleotide non-coding RNA is filed under the name Gordonia malaquae. Its description in RNAcentral is "SAM-IV sequence". It matches the Rfam family "SAM (S-adenosyl methionine) riboswitch aptamer". Rfam says of the family: SAM-IV is a mRNA element that regulates gene expression via direct sensing of S-adenosylmethionine (SAM or AdoMet). SAM-IV riboswitches share conserved nucleotide positions with the previously described SAM-I riboswitches sequence analysis and molecular recognition experiments suggest that SAM-I and SAM-IV riboswitches share similar ligand binding sites, but have different scaffolds. RNAcentral also lists the same sequence under 1 other name. Lineage: Bacteria; Bacillati; Actinomycetota; Actinomycetes; Mycobacteriales; Gordoniaceae. The record is from RNAcentral.